Molecule: ribosomal RNA, 774 nt
Filed under: uncultured delta proteobacterium
Lineage: Bacteria; Deltaproteobacteria
Description: bacterial SSU rRNA
Rfam family: Bacterial small subunit ribosomal RNA
Source: RNAcentral
AAUGAACGCUGGCGGCGUGCUUAACACAUGCAAGUCGCACGAGAACGCUUCAGCUUGCUGAAGCUAGUAAAGUGGCGCACGGGUGAGUAUCGCGUGGGUAAUCUACCCUUCUGCCGGGAAUAACGUUGCGAAAGCGGCGCUAAUGCCCGGUAACAUUUCGGCAUCUCCGGUUGCUGAAAUCAAAGGUGGCCUCUCCAUGGAAGCUACCGCAGGAGGAUGAGCCCGCGUCCCAUUAGCUAGUUGGCGGGGUAAUGGCCCACCAAGGCGACGAUGGGUAGCUGGUCUGAGAGGAUGAUCAGCCACACUGGAACUGACACACGGUCCAGACUCCUACGGGAGGCAGCAGUGAGGAAUUUUGCGCAAUGGGCGAAAGCCUGACGCAGCAACGCCGCGUGGGUGAUGAAGGCCUUUGGGUCGUAAAGCCCUGUCAAGUGGGAAGAACCCGCAUGGUGCGAAUAGUGCCGUGCGCUGACGGUACCACUGAAGGAAGCACCGGCUAACUCCGUGCCAGCAGCCGCGGUAAUACGGGGGGUGCAAGCGUUAUUCGGAAUUAUUGGGCGUAAAGGGCGCGUAGGCGGCCGUUUAAGUCAGAUGUGAAAGCCCGGGGCUCAACCUUGGAAGUGCAUUUGAAACUGGACGGCUUGAGUAUGGGAGAGGGAAGCGGAAUUCCUGGUGUAGAGGUGAAAUGCGUAGAUAUCGGGAGGAACACCAGUAGCGAAGGCGGCUACCUGGCUGAUAACUGACGCUGAGGUGCGAGAGCGUGGGGAUCAAACA